Amyelois transitella is the source of this 274-nucleotide long non-coding RNA. RefSeq lists it as uncharacterized. NCBI's taxonomy places the organism in Eukaryota, Metazoa, Arthropoda, Insecta, Lepidoptera, Pyralidae. The record is from RefSeq and is a predicted model, not a curated record. The transcript is spliced from 3 exons.
CUGGAUAAGAUUACACUAAACUGUCGAAAUUGAAUGAAGAGUGGAUGAAUUUGAUUGAAACGAAAGAAAAAUGUAGCCUGUGCCUACCCCUCCGAGAAAGAGGCGUGUUUACGUAUUUGUACGUAUCUGUAUGUGGAAUUGCACAAUCACAAAUUGAAAUAAAUGAACAAAAUUAAAUUUUUUCCGAAACCGAAUUGGAAAGAUGUAUUCGCAUAUGCCCAAGAACCCCUGAAUACAACCCAGUUUGCGGCACAGACAACAAGAGGUACUGGAG